Molecule: long non-coding RNA, 360 nt
Filed under: Meleagris gallopavo (turkey)
Lineage: Eukaryota; Metazoa; Chordata; Aves; Galliformes; Phasianidae
Description: lncRNA (ENSMGAG00000020857.1)
Source: RNAcentral
ACAUUAUUCAUUCCAGAUCUCAAGCUCAGUCUAAUCUCUAAGCAAGUGUUCCAUUAGUUUCUCAGAAACGUGCUGAAGUCUUCAGUUCUUAAGCUCUUUUUCAAUUUAAUUUCUGUAUUAUCUACCUGAAAACACUUUUCCUGUGUUUCAGAUUGAUAUGGAGGAGAGUACCAUAUGUAUUUCUGUAAGGGGUCAGAGCUGACCUCCUUUGCCUGAGUUAAUCAAGAGCCAUUAGGACAUACAGUGCAUUAAAGGCUACUAUUGCCAGAGGAGAGGCUUCCUUCAAACUGUAUUUUCCCCACUUCACUGGAAUUUAUUGUAUGCAGAUGAAGGUGGAAGCUAAGGUUAUGUCACUAUACC